UACGUAGGGUGCGAGCGUUAAUCGGAAUUACUGGGCGUAAAGCGUGCGCAGGCGGUUCGUUGUGUCUGAUGUGAAAGCCCCGGGCUUAACCUGGGAAUGGCAUUGGAAACUGGCGAGCUGGAGUGUGGCAGAGGGGGGUGGAAUUCCGCGUGUAGCAGUGAAAUGCGUAGAGAUGUGGAGGAACACCGAUGGCGAAGGCAGCCCCCUGGGUCAACACUGACGCUCAUGCACGAAAGCGUGGGGAGCAAACAGG
RNAcentral lists this ribosomal RNA (253 nucleotides) under uncultured bacterium. Its description in RNAcentral is "partial 16S ribosomal RNA". It matches the Rfam family "Bacterial small subunit ribosomal RNA", at positions 524 to 776 of the family's 1533-position model. The record is from RNAcentral.